RNAcentral lists this long non-coding RNA (6661 nucleotides) under Lactuca sativa (garden lettuce). Its description in RNAcentral is "long non-coding RNA (LSAT_LNC001288)". The record is from RNAcentral. Lineage: Eukaryota; Viridiplantae; Streptophyta; Magnoliopsida; Asterales; Asteraceae.
UAGCGAACAACUGAGGUGUGGGGUGUCAUCCCCGUAUAGAUCUAUACACGAAUCCCCGCUCUCCCUCCAAGAGACUCCGGUUAUAACUACAGACUACGAUCGUACACUUAAUAGGUGCCAACCGACAAAAACUCGCUAGAUACCUAAUCAAAUUUAUGCGAAGAAAAAGGUAUAAACUCAUUCCAGGACCAAUGAUCCAUGUAAGUGAACCACUACGACAUUGCUAAACAUGUAAAUCAUUUAAAGACCCAAAUGGAAUGAGAUUAUAUAACAUGGGCCCGAAAUAUAUAUGAAAGGACAACUAAGGCCCAUUUCACAUGUAAAGUAUUUACAGGCCCAAAUAGCACACAAAUAGUAUCCAAGGUCCGUCGCACAUGUUAAUGGGUCAAUGAGGCCCAAUAAACAUAUACAGGACCUCUCACACAUAAAAAUGGGCCACUAAGGCCCAAUAACCUAGAAAAUGAUCAAAUUAAAUCCAUUUGUUGGUUUAUCAUUGGUUUUGGCUCAAGUAUUUACUAAAAUAUCAUAAAAAGAAGAAUGCAUAUAAAACCCAAUCCUAGGCCCAAUAAACAUGUAAGUGGACCACUAAGGCCCACUAUACGUGUCUAUUAUUUCCAGGCUCAAAAGGAAUGUGAAUGUCUAUCCUAAGCCCAAUAUACAUGUAAAAGGACACUAAGGCCCACUAAACAUGUAUAUUAUUUCCAGGCCCAAUAAGGAUAUGAAUAUCGUUUUUAACCCGUUUGUUAUUGUUUUGUUUAUUUUAGCUUGAUUAUUUACAUAAUUGAUAUCUAAAGCCCAAUUUUUGUAAAAAUUACGUUCUUGGCCCAAUAAGCCAAAAAUUUACAAUUAAGGCCCAAUUUUUGUAAGAAUAACACUUUAAUAUCCAAUUUUGUUAAAAACUUGUGUUGAUGACUACUUUGUGAUAAAAAUAGCAUUUUAAACCCAUUUUUGUCAAAAAUAUCAUUUUUGGCUUGGUUUUUGUGAAAAUACACAUUUUUCUGGUUUUUGGCUUUUCCGACCUAGUUUUUAGAAAAUUUGUAGAAAAUUCAUUGUAAGUCAAAAUCUGGAUCCGUAAAUUUUGGAAGUUUGGAAAUUUUGUCUACUUUGUUCAAAAUUUUUCUCAUAAUUUUUGAUGGCCUCAAACUAGUGUGAAAUUACUCAUCUUCACAGGUUGGUCCGAAAUUAUUUUAAAUAUGAUAGGCAGUUUUGUAAAAUUCGCCAAACAUUGUAGAAAAAUCGUAUGAAAACAUGAGAGUAGUCAUUUUAAAGGUAUAAAUCUGAAAUUUAUCCAUGUAAAACAGUUUUGAAAAAUUAUUCCAUUUGGAGCGUCAAAACAGUCCGAGAAUGGACCAAAACUUUUCUGUCAAGGGCUGUUUUGUGAGUUUAGUUUAUAGAUCUUUGAACCCAACACUCAUUUUUGCUAUAUCAAGUAUACAAAUCCCAGAUCUACAAGUUUACAUGUAUUAUAUGAGAUAAGACAUACUUUUCUCAUGUUUCAUAUGAAGAUCCUAGUGAGUCACUUCAAGUUUAUUAACAUAUUUUUAGAUUAGUGAAGAAAUCAACACAUAAUCACCAAAACAUACUUGUCAGCAUACCUCUUUUGUCGGUCUUGUGAUGCUUGAAGUCGAGUUCUGAUUUGGAUUAUCUUCUCUGUCGUCUUGCGAAUAGUUUUCUGGUCCCGUGUGAUUACUAGUGAGUGAUCUGCAUUUAUGACUAGAAGGAGUUUCGGAAAGAGCAACCUUGAUGUUCACGCGAUAGCUAUUAUUGGGUGAGAAUUUAAUCAAAGGCAACCAGGUAUCCCUUAACUUGUUGAAUUCAAACACCCAGACUUGUAGCAGGUCUUCGAGUGGUUGAAUGGUUCGUUCACUUUGGCUAUUGGUUUGAGGGUGGUAAGCAACGCUUAUACUUAGCUCUGUUCCUAUAGCCUUCUGAAAUGGCUGUCAAAGUCUUGAAGAAAUUUUUUUAUCUCUAUCCGAGAUAGUAGAUACUGAUAUUUCAUGGAGUCUCACGAUCUCCUCGAUAUAGAUCCAAGCUAACCUUUUUGUCUUGUUUGGUUUCUGUACUAGCAGAAAAUGGGCAGAUUGGGUUAACCUCUCGAUGAUCACCCAAAUAAUGCCCAAUUCAACUCGCAUACCUAUAAGCUUCGUCUUUCAACUCCGAGAGUUUUAUCCAUCCACGUAGUGUUUUCUUUGCGAUGUUCUCUGACUUUGAUGCUUUCAAGGCUGGUCGUAGAUGUUGACAGUGUUUUGUUCUUGCUUCGCAAGUAGAUGAGUAUGCUAUUGACGAAAAUAAUAAAAAGGUUGAUUAGGAGUGGUUGAGAAAACUUGGUUCGUAGGGUCCAUGAAUAGCGUGGGAACAUUCGUUAGACCGAAGGGUAUCACAAUGAAUUUGAAAUGGUCGUGACGAGUUCGGAAGGAAGUUUUUGGAAUGUCGUCUUCUCGGACUCGAAGUUGAUGAUAACCGGUUCUUGGGUCUAUAUUAGAGAAGUAACUAGCUCCUUGGAGCUGGCCAAAUAGAUCGUCAGUCCGAGGAAGUGGGUAUCGAUUUUUGAUAGGGAGCUUAUUCAAUUUCCUAAAAUCGAUGUACCUUCGGAAGGAUCCGUUUUCUUGAAGAGCAAGACCGGAGCACUCCAAGGUGAGAAGCUUGGUCCGAUGGAUCCUUUGUGCAACAAUUCUUCUCAAUUGACUGCAUAACUUAUGAAUUUUCGGUGGGAGUCAACCUAUAGGGUGAAUUGGCAAUUGAUGUGGUUCCUGGUAUUAGGUCAAUUCGAAAUUCUACCUGUCUUUCUGGAGGUAUUCCCGGAAGUUCUUCAGGAAAUACAUUCGGAAAAUCGCAUGCUACCUGAAUACCUUGUAUGCUUACUUCUUCCUUGGUCUUGUCUACAACAUGAGCAAGGAAAACGUAGUUCUUCUGGUGCAGGCACUUUUAUGCCUUGAUGCACGAGAUAGGACGAGGAUUGACGUUAGGUUUAUCACCAUGGGUUAUUAGAGUUUCGUGAUUGGGAAGGUGAAGGCAAACGGCCUUCUCGCGACACAUAGUAUCAGCACGGUGGGGGCUUAACCCAACCAUGCCAAUUAUCACAUCAAAACUCCUAAUAUUUACUUGCAUUAAAUUUUAUUUGAAAUGAAUGGUUGUUUAGUGUUAAGGUGUACUCCACAAAAAUAUCCUAGGUUAAUUUUGUUUUUCCCCAUUGGCCAUGUCCACUGUAAAGGCUUAGCUUAGCUUUGGGGUUGUUGUUUUAGUAAGUGCUCGAAGUUGUUACUAACGAAGCUUCACUCAGCUUCACUAUUGAAUAAGGGGUAAGCGGAAGAGUUGUUAAGUGGGAACGUACCAAUAACAAGCAUUGGGUCUUGGACUGCUUCGCCUUGACCCAAGGUUAGGACCAUUUCCGAUCCUUCUGCUCCUUGAUUGUUAUCCUUGGGGCAAUUGCGCCUGAAGUGACCGGUUCCUCCACACCCAUAGCAGGUGUGACUGGUCUCAUCAUUGGUGUUGUUGUUAGGGUUGUUGCAAUUGUUGUCAUUUUCAUUUGGCUGACGCUUCUGACAUGGAUAAGUUCUACAGAAUUUGGCCGUGUGAUUCUUUCGGUUGCAUUUGUUACAAUGCAUCUCCCGACAGGCUCCAUUAUGAUGGAAUUUGUACUGGUUGCAUUUUGGAAGGCUUUCGGCAUAUGGUCUCAUUGAUGUUGGUGUGAUAGGGGUCAUGGUUGCAUGAACAUCAACAACAUGUUGCUUCUUUGAGAACCCUUGAGUGGGUUGUCCCUUUCUCUUACUUCCAGGAUUUUGCUUCCUGCUCUUAAGCUUGGGGUUUAGUGUGCCUUGACAAGCUGUCACUUGUUGGUUCCCAUGCUCAUUCCUUUGGCUGGAGUUGUCAAUGCUAUUUCCACCUCCAUUGGGGUUGUUUGCAUUGAUUUGUGCCAUAGCAAUGGUUACUGCCGCCGUUACAGCAACUUGGAAUGUAGCAGAGUCAAUCUGCAGGAGCGGUGUCUCGCGGGUGCACUUGUUAUUCUUGCGGGAUGGCAUUUUCCUGCUACACGUUGAUAAUCUAGAUCGUAAGUAAUGAUCAUCAUUCCUGGUUGUACUCUAUAAAAUGUUCAUUUUGUUGUAUAAUUCUUACUGCUUCCAUCUACAUCCCUAUGAUGUAUUUGCGGUAGUAUGUAAUCGCAGAUUUGGCAUGAUCGUCACGUCUAUCCUUAGAAUAUAUAGGUUGUUUUGGUUUUGAGACCCUUAAGUAUCUAGCGGUUUUGAGGGUUCGCUUGUGCAUAUAAUUGAGUCUAUGUAGUAAUAUGAAAUAAAGACAACACAUAAUUGUUCCAGUGGUAAGUACCAUCUUAGUACACGAAAGAGAGUCAUGUCGGAUAGCAAGGGGGAAAAAGAAAAGGCUAAUCCUAAUUGUGGCAAAAAGUGUCUGGUGGUGGUGCUGAUGAAGUGGAUGCACCUCGGAGACGAGCUACUUGUUGUUCGGUAUCUCGUACUCGUACUUCCCAAACUAACUGUCUCGCUCGGGAGUCUCCAUUCACUUCCUGUGUUUGCCUCUCAUCUCUCUCAAUAGCAAACCACAUUGGUUCCGUUCAAUUUAGGGUGUCCUGAGCUUGGUUAUCAAUACCUCAGGUGCCCGGACCAUGACUGGGAGGGCCCGGUCAGUUGGUCCUCUGUGACUAAGAUCGAAGAGACCUCAGUUCCUACCGUAGUGUGGUUGUAUCCCCUACCGGUGACUCUAUCUCCAAAUAUUGUGUGCCUAAAGGGGCAUGGGGCCACCGGGGCCCACACGAUAUGUCGGUACUCUGGCUUUACAUGGAGGAUUGAUGUCAUCGGAUUCUAUAUCCGAGUCAUCAUCAUCAUUUCCCUCUGGCUCUUCCUCUUCGAGGUCCACUAUUGACUUGGUGGGUUCACCUGCAAGUUCUACUUCGUGUUCCUCCUGUGGUUCCUCCUCUGAGUCGAGCCACCCUGCUAUUCCCUGACUAGGGAGAUAGGGGUUUCUUGGCUAAUGAUACUCGUCUAUAGUGUAUUGCACGAAGGGGUAUAAAUACUAGAAACAAAUAGCAUACCAAUUACUCUUAUAGUAAUCUAAUUUUGUUUAGGUUUGGUUCUAUAAGCUCUUUGGAUAAUUAAAUGGUAAGUUUUUGAUUCAUUGUUCAUCACGACUAUUCCCAAACACAUGUUGGUCAUAUUUUGAAAGAAUGGAGUUGAUCAGGUUACAUUCACCCCCAAUACGACUACAUAACUGCCCGAGUUUAAUAGCGAUGUUCAAAUCCUCCAAAGACUUUUACUGUUCUUGUUGUGUUUUUAUUCUAAAAUGCACACAAAGGUAUGUAUUUUAAUUAUUAUGUUCAGAGUUGUUUAGUCCCAUUGUAUUUAUAGUUGCAUAUCCUGUAUGAUUAGAUAUGCUAGUUCACUAUAAACAAUGCUCUAAUACUAAUCUGUCACACCCCCGAACCAGACGGCGGAAACGUCCGGGGGCUUGUGCGUGACUUCAUCUUUAAAUAUCAUUACAGUGAAUAUAAUUGAAACAUAACAUCAUCAUCAUCACACAUGUAAUAUUACAACAUUCAUUGUUUACAUCGAGUAUUGUAUUUGAAUAUUACAUGCCAUAUAGUAAGAGUAUGAUGAAACAAAAUAUAACACAAUAUCCAUUAGUUUGUUUUGUUCAUCCCGCUUCAACGAUUUCCUGAGAAUACAAGUUAUUUUGAAAACGGUCAACAUAAAAAUGUUGGUGAGUUCAUAAGCAUGUUUGUGAAAAUGAUUUGUAUAACUUUGAAAACCACCAGAAAAUCCGAUAUUUUCUGAAAACUGUUUAGUGUGUUUGUGUUAGAUCUUGUAUUAAUGCAUGUAUGUUAUUGUUUAUUUGACUAAAACGGUAAAGAAAAUGUAGAGAGAAUGUAAGAGCAUGUAAAGAGAAUGUUCCCAGUCAACCUAAUGUUGCCUGUAAAAAAAUGGUCUUCCGUAAACUUCAUAACAUUAAUUCCUCUAAGCGAGCCGUCAUAACCAUACUAAAUAAUGACGAUUUCACCUGUCUUGGCGUCGUUGGACGCCGGUUUUGACUUUGAUUAUAAGGUCUUCGUCACCCUAGACUAAGUUAGUCUAACUGUAGCGAACAACUGAGGUGUGGGGUGUCAUCCCCGUAUAGAUCUAUACACGAAUCCCCGCUCUCCCUCCAAGAGACUCCGGUUAUAACUACAGACUACGAUCGUACACUUAAUAGGUGCCAACCGACAAAAACUCGCUAGACACCUAAUCAAAUUUAUGCGAAGAAAAAGGUAUAAACUCAUUCCAGGACCAAUGAUCCAUGUAAGUGAACCACUACGACAUUGCUAAACAUGUAAAUCAUUUAAAGACCCAAAUGGAAUGAGAUUAUAUAACAUGGGCCCGAAAUAUAUAUGAAAGGACAACUAAGGCCCAUUUCACAUAUAAAGUAUUUACAGGCCCAAAUAGCACAUAAAUAGUAUCCAAGGUCCGUCGCACAUGUUAAUGGGUCAAUGAGGCCCAAUAAACAUAUAAAGGACCUCUCACACAUAAAAAUGGGCCAUUAAGGCCCAAUAACCUAGAAAAUGAUCAAAUUAAAUCCAUUUGUUGGUUUAUCAUUGGUUUUGGUUCAAGUAUUUACUAAAAUAUCAUAAAAAGAAGAAUGCAUAUAAAACCCAUUCCUAGGCCCAAUAAACAUGUAA